AUAAUAGUAAGAAAACUGGAAAUGAUGACAAUACCAAUCUUAUUAAUGGCGGAGAUAAUAACUUUCGCACUCACACUACUUUUAACAAAUCGUUUACAACAAAAGAGCUGUUUAACAAAAGUACAAGCAUAGAAAGUACUGAUUUAAAUUUUGUUUUAAAUAAAUCUACAUUAAAUGAAGAUUUACUCUCUUAUUUUGAUAAUGUGAUUAAUAUAAUUUUUAAAAAAACAAAUUAUAUUAAUAGUAAUAUAAAUAAUAUAAAAUAUAUUUUAUCUGUAAAAACAGUUAUAAGUAUAUUUUAUAUAUAUGGUGAUUAUUUAUAUUUUACAUAUUGGUUAAAAUUAAUAGAUUUAUUUGUUGAAAUAAAUUAUAUAUAUAAAUAUAUAUCUUCUAUAGAAAAUAAAACAAUCGAAUUUUUAAACUUUUUACAUCAUAUGAAUAAAAAUGGUGAAAAUUUUAAUUUUGCAUUAAAUAGUAACAGUAAAACUCAAUCAGAUGAAAAUGGGCAUAUAGAACAUGUAAAUUCAAAAAGUGCUGAAUUUUGUUAUUUUAUAGUACGCUUUAUACAAAAAAAUCCUGUUUUAUGUGCAGAAAUUACAAUGAUUUUUACUUCUUUGUCAUACUUUUUUAAAAGAACUAUUUUUUAUAAUACUCCAACAGUUAUUAAUAUAUUAAACUCUAUUCAUUUUAUGAUAUUUAAUCAAUUUUUUAAACAAAAAAAAAAAAAAGAACAUGGACAUGGGCAGAGACAAGAACAGAAACAUAAUAAUGGAUGUUCUUAUAUCCAUGACCAUAUAUCAAAUAAACAUAAUAAAGUAUGGUACAAUAGUGAUUAUAGUACUGGAGAUAAAAAACAUUCAGUUCGUUUUUGCACCAAUGUAAAUAAUAACAAUAAUAACGACUUCAGUAAAAGAAAAAUAAAAAGAAAACAAUCAUUUAUAUCUUAUAUAAUAAUGAGACAUAGUCAAAAGAAACAUGGACAUUUAGAUGCUUCCUGGGGUAAAAAAAAAAGUGAUAAUGAAAGAGAUUAUAAAGGUACAAAUACAAACACAUUCACUAGUACUGAUAGUACUGGUAAAACAGAAAGUCGACCUAGUACAAUGGAAAGAAAACCUUCUUGUGAUAUACGUCAUUUCAAAACCAGUAUAAAAUCAGACUAUGAAGAGUUGUACCAUUCUGUAGAUAAUGGAAAAGGUAAAAAAAAAAAAAAAAAAAAAAAAAAAGAAGAAGAAGAAGAAGAAGAAGAAGAAGAAAAAGAAGAAGAUAAAGAAUAUUCACCAAACAACAAAAGAAACAUAAAUACGAACAUUGUACAUUCGGAAAAGAGUAAUGUGCAACAAUUAAUCACCAACUCACAAAAAAUUGGUAGUACUUAUUACACCUCCAAUUUGAAUAAAAAAAAAACCAUACUUGAAAAGUAUCUACAGUUUAUAAAAAAAAAUAAUGAUAUUUUUCAUAUCUUUUUUUAUUAUUUAUCACAUUUUGAUUCGGUAUACAUUUCGUAUUUUAUUUUUUAUUGUGAAAAAUAUUUUGCAAAUUGGGAGAACGUACGAAAUAAUAUAUUUUGUGAUAUAUAUACGGAUGUAUGUUUUAGUACUUGUACAAAUCAACAAAAUAUUCUACCUACGGACAAAUCUGAACCUGAAACUAUAUGUAAUUAUAACAAAAACUUAAAUGCUGUGAAAGAACAUAAUUAUAUUGUACUAAAAAAAUUGGAAAAGUGUUAUAUUUUUGAAGAUUUUUAUCCACUACAUAUGAUAGAAAUGUUAUGUGUAAUUAAUAUAAAUAGAAUAAAACAUAUAUACAAUAAUUGUUGUAUAGAUCUUUUAUUAUUAUCCUUAUGUAAAAAUACUGAUAUACAACAAAAAAGUAUUAAUACAUUAUUUAACAUAAUAAAAGAAUCAGUUAUUUAUUAUAAAUAUAAUUUCGAAAUUCAGUUUUAUUUAUUUAAACCAUUUUUUUUUUUUAUUUUAAAUCCAUAUGUAUGUUAUCGCUUUAAUUUUCUAAAUGCUCUUUUAAAUUUUAUUCGAAAAAAUGCAUCUUUUUUAAAUAAAACUAUAUGGCUUUU
Piliocolobus tephrosceles (Ugandan red Colobus) is the source of this 2068-nucleotide long non-coding RNA. NCBI's taxonomy places the organism in Eukaryota, Metazoa, Chordata, Mammalia, Primates, Cercopithecidae. The record is from Ensembl.